CGGGUGAGUAAUGUCUGGGAAACUGCCUGAUGGAGGGGGAUAACUACUGGAAACGGUAGCUAAUACCGCAUAACGUCGCAAGACCAAAGAGGGGGACCUUCGGGCCUCUUGCCAUCGGAUGUGCCCAGAUGAGAUUAGCUAGUGGGUGGGGUAACGGCUCACCUAGGCGACGAUCCCUAGCUGGUCUGAGAGGAUGACCAGCCACACUGGAACUGAGACACGGUCCAG
RNAcentral lists this ribosomal RNA (228 nucleotides) under uncultured bacterium. RNAcentral's name for it is "partial 16S ribosomal RNA". It matches the Rfam family "Bacterial small subunit ribosomal RNA", at positions 103 to 334 of the family's 1533-position model. The record is from RNAcentral.